UCUAUUAUGGCAGAUUAGUGCAAUGGAUUUAAACCCCAUUUAUAAAGCUUAAACUUUUUUUAGAA
RNAcentral lists this transfer RNA (65 nucleotides) under Xenopsylla cheopis (oriental rat flea). Its description in RNAcentral is "tRNA-Leu". Lineage: Eukaryota; Metazoa; Arthropoda; Insecta; Siphonaptera; Pulicidae. The record is from RNAcentral.